AUUGAACGCUGGCGGAAUGCUUUACACAUGCAAGUCGAACGGUAGAGGGGGCAACCCCUCGAGAGUGGCGAACGGGUGAGUAAUAUAUCGGAACGUGCCCAGUCGUGGGGGAUAACGUAGCGAAAGUUACGCUAAUACCGCAUACGAUCUAAGGAUGAAAGCGGGGGAUCGCAAGACCUCGCGCGAUUGGAGCGGCCGAUAUCAGAUUAGGUAGUUGGUGGGGUAAAGGCUCACCAAGCCAACGAUCUGUAGCUGGUCUGAGAGGACGACCAGCCACACUGGAACUGAGACACGGUCCAGACUCCUACGGGAGGCAGCAGUGGGGAAUUUUGGACAAUGGCCGCAAGUCUGAUCCAGCCAUUCCGCGUGCAGGAUGAAGGCCCUCGGGUUGUAAACUGCUUUUGUACGGAACGAAAAGGUCUCUCUUAAUACGGGGGGCUCAUGACGGUACCGUAAGAAUAAGCACCGGCUAACUACGUGCCAGCAGCCGCAGUAA
This 496-nucleotide ribosomal RNA is filed under the name uncultured bacterium. RNAcentral's name for it is "partial 16S ribosomal RNA". It matches the Rfam family "Bacterial small subunit ribosomal RNA", at positions 30 to 523 of the family's 1533-position model. The record is from RNAcentral.